AGGCAAGAAGCUUAGCUCCUUAGCAUCUUGCACACAGACAUUCCUCAUUACGCGGCUUACACGUUGCUGAUGAAUCUCACGUGGAUGCGGUCCUGGGCCAGCAGAGGCAUUUCUUUUUACAUCCACCCACACUAAGGACGGAGAAAAUUCUUGUUGCCUGGGACCCAUGCUGGUGUUCCCCUUGGAACAUCAUGGUGAAAACAGAAUGUUCCAGUGGGGGUGGGGGCUGCAACUUCCUAUUGGCUCUGCCAAUGACAUUCAUCUUCAUUCCAGGAAGAGGGCUCUACUUAUCCUCUUGCUUUCCACGUUCAACACGGAUUGCCCAAGAUACCAUCCCUAAACAGUCGUCCCAGAGAUCCCUGGGUUACAAUGUAUCAGAUUCUGGCUACCUCCCUAUAAACAAGCCAGCUGACAUUUCAGUUAUAUAUUAUCCUCUUGGGAUUCUAGUCUCUCUGUUUGUUCAUCUUUAGACUCCAUCCUCCUCGGAGCAGUCAGACAACAUGAAGUUUCUGGAAGCCAACUAAGUGAGUUUGAAUUCAGGCUCUGUCACUUUUUGCUGUGUGGCCUCGCAGGACGAUAUUCCUACUCCUUGGGGGCAGUGUAAAGACUGGGUUAGCAGUAUUUAAACUGCUUGAGGUUGACCCUGGCAUUUUGGAGUACUCUAUGAGAUGUUGGCUAUACUCUAGCAUUACUGAGCCAGGGCUGGCCCUGAAGAGGAAGAGGAACACUAGCCCGCCUAGAAGAUGCCUCUCUCCAACGUUCUGAACUAGCACUAGUAGCCAUCUAGGACAAAAUGCCCAAGAACAUCAACUAAAAGGCCACGUUUGUUUGGGUUCAUGGCUUAAGCCCACGCUCACACGGCUCCAUGGCUUCUGGACCUGUGGUUUGCAACAUCAUGCCAAGCGCCAAUGAGUCUGCGGAAGAAGACUACAGCACAUCACCAAGGACAGAACAGCUUAGAAGAGAGAAACCUUAAGUCCUUAUUUGAAUUUAGCUUGGUCCUUCAGCAGGCUGCUGCUGGCAAACUUAACUGGGCCAUUAUGGUUGUUACCAAUGGCUCUGCAUGGCCAUCCUUGCUGGAUGCCAGAAAAGGCACAGGACCUUACUUUACCCUCUCCCAAGCUCUCCCAGCCAACCUGUACAUGGCACCCAGUUUAAAGUUCUGCAUAAUCGACCAGGACGCUCUCAAGGCAGCUUCCAGAAGAGCUAUUCCUCCCUGUAUACUAAAACCUGAGUCUGUUAGUGACUUUUCUAAUUGCUGUAACUAGACAGCAUGACCAAGGCAACCUAAGAACAAAGAGUUUCUUUGUACUUAUGGUUCCAGAGGGGUGGAGUCCAUGAUGGUGUAGCAAAGACAUGGCGGUGGAAGCAACAAGCUGAGGGCUCAGCUCUUGAGCAGCAUGCAAAAAGCAAAGAGAGCACAUUAGGAAUGGUGGGAAGCAUCUGAAGUCCAAAGCCCACUCCCAGUGACACAGUUCCCCCAACAAAGCUGCAUCUCUUGAGUCUCCUCAAACACUGCCACCAACUGGAGGCCAACAUUCAAGUAGCUGAGCCCGGAGGGGUCCUGCUCAUUCAAACCACCACACUGGGGCUCAGCCCAAACCAACUUCACACCCACUGUUGCUUUGCCCGUUCUAAUGAAGGAUGAGGCAAAAAUCUUAAUAGGAUUGAAACAGAUAUUUGUGGGUUUGAAUCAUAUAUGAAAAUCUCAGUCAAAACCACAACAGUAUGGUGGCUGAGGAAUGGUACUUUUUCAGGAAAAACAACAUCCAAGCAAGGUUGAAAACUGAGCACGGAUUGAGGCUGUCCUUUCUGCUUCCACUCCAUCUCACCCUUCAAAAGCACCGCUGCCCCGCUAGACCUGAGAGCAGCAGCUCCCAGCUCUUCUUGGUGUGAAUGCCACGGAAACACUAAGGAUUUCUUAGUGCUAAUUUACUGCAGAUGUUAGUAUGAGCCCCAAGUCCUGACCCCAGUCACCCAGUCAUCCUUCCUCAGGCAAAUCUGUGUCCCGCUGAUAACCCCACACCCAGCACCUACUUCAAGGCAGGCAUGAGAUUCUAAGUUCAAUUCCCAAUACCCACCACACACGCGCGCGCACACACACACACAACUGUUGGUUCUCUGAAACAAUUUUUUCAAUGAUACAAAGAAAAAAGUAGACUAAGUGGUUUUGUUGUUAUUGCUUUUAAGACAAAACUUAAAACUACUGAAUGUAAGCCCAUGUGAAAAGAACCACAGACAAUAAAGACAUAUCACACCUGA
This 2262-nucleotide long non-coding RNA is filed under the name Mus musculus (house mouse). Its description in RNAcentral is "predicted gene 10309". The record is from RNAcentral. Lineage: Eukaryota; Metazoa; Chordata; Mammalia; Rodentia; Muridae.